CUUGUGAUUUGUGAAGAUCAGAUUCUCUCCUAGUUGCAAUUAUCGAGUGAUUGGUCGGGACAGCCAAUAUAGGAGUCAACUCUGUUUUGCCAUGGAAUGACUGGGAAUAUGAAGUCCACUAGAGAGGAUUUAGCGCCUUUUUUUUUUUUGGUACAUGACGUGUCUAUCGACAUCAAAACGUCUAUGAUGUCUAUCAAUCUCAAUAUUUGCUGAUUAAAUUCAGUUUUUCGAAGGUGCUCAUAGAGAUAUGAUAUGUGUGUAUGUGUUCAUAGAGGUAAGUGUACGCUUGUGUAUGUGAGUAUUUAUGUUUGUAACUAGGUCUUGAAAAUGAAAUCUAAGUCUUUG
Molecule: long non-coding RNA, 345 nt
Filed under: Sorghum bicolor (sorghum)
Lineage: Eukaryota; Viridiplantae; Streptophyta; Magnoliopsida; Poales; Poaceae
Description: long non-coding RNA (SBIC_LNC016471)
Source: RNAcentral